AGAUUGAACGCUGGCGGCAGGCCUAACACAUGCAAGUCGAGCGGUAGAGAGGUGCUUGCACCUCUUGAGAGCGGCGGACGGGUGAGUAAUGCCUAGGAAUCUGCCUAGUGGGUGGGGGAUAACGGUUCGGAAACGGACGCUAAUACCGCAUACGUCCUACGGGAGAAAGCGGGGGACCUUCGGGCCUCGCGCCAUUAGAUGAGCCUAGGUCGGAUUAGCUAGUUGGUGAGGUAAUGGCUCACCAAGGCGACGAUCCGUAACUGGUCUGAGAGGAUGAUCAGUCACACUGGAACUGAGACACGGUCCAGACUCCGUACGGGAGCAGCGAGUGGGAAUAUUGGACAAGUGGGACGAAAGCCGUAGAUCCAGCCAUCGCCGCGUGUGUAGAAGUAAGGCGUUUUUUCGGAGUUAGUAAA
RNAcentral lists this ribosomal RNA (416 nucleotides) under uncultured soil bacterium. Its description in RNAcentral is "bacterial SSU rRNA". It matches the Rfam family "Bacterial small subunit ribosomal RNA", at positions 26 to 451 of the family's 1533-position model. The record is from RNAcentral.